RNAcentral lists this ribosomal RNA (766 nucleotides) under uncultured bacterium. RNAcentral's name for it is "bacterial SSU rRNA". It matches the Rfam family "Bacterial small subunit ribosomal RNA", at positions 8 to 796 of the family's 1533-position model. The record is from RNAcentral.
AGAGUUUGAUCAUGGCUCAGAACGAACGCUGGCGGCAGGCUUAACACAUGCAAGUCGAACGCGUGUAGCAAUACACGAGUGGCGCACGGGUGAGUAACGCGUGGAUAUCUGCCUUUUGGUUCGGAAUAACCCCGGGAAACUGGGGCUAAUACCGGAUGGUUCCUUCGGGAUAAAGAUUUAUCGCCAAAAGAUGAGUCCGCGUACGAUUAGCUAGUUGGUGAGGUAAUGGCUCACCAAGGCUACGACGGAUAGCCGGUCUGAGAGGAUGAUCGGCCACACUGGCACUGAGACACGGGCCAGACUCCUACGGGAGGCAGCAGUUAAGAAUCUUGCGCAAUGGGGGAAACCCUGACGCAGCGACGCCGCGUGAAGGAUGAAGGCUUUCGGGUUGUAAACUUCGGUAGACUGGGAAGAAGAACUACGUUCGUUGAGGGCGUAGAGUGACGGUACCAGUCUGAAGCCCCGGCUAAUUACGUGCCAGCAGCCGCGGUAAUACGUAUGGGGCAAGCGUUGUUCGGAAUUAUUGGGCGUAAAGGGCUCGCAGGUGGUUUGUUAAGUUGGUGGUUUAAUCUCUGGGCUCAACCCAGAGUCAGCCUCCAAAACUGACGAACUUGAGUAUGAUAGGGGAUAGCGGAAUUCUCGGUGUAGCGGUGGAAUGCGUAGAUAUCGAGAGGAACACCAAUGGCGAAGGCAGCUAUCUGGAUCGUAACUGACACUCAUGAGCGAAAGUGCGGGGAGCAAACAGGAUUAGAUACCCCGGUAGUCC